GAAGGACCUGCGCUGGGAAGGUGCAAAGGUCAAUGGUGGGAGCCAGAGAGUCUGCACCAGCAGGUUGAAGGAUCUGUGCCAGCAGGCUGAGGGAUCUGCACUGGAGCCAGGAAGCAACGCUCAAGGACCGAAGGCCUUGUGGAAACCAGGUGAGAGUUCUGCCCCUGAGCCACAUGCCCAGCCCCUUAAAAACAGAAAAGAAAAGAAAAGAAAAAUACCCUUGGGACUGCUAGGAACUGCAGGUGCGCAAGGGCCCUGGUCUCGAGUUGCUCUUGGAUGGCGCUUCUCUGGGUGCUGAGGGUGCUCCAAUACCUGGUUGAAGGCUAGGACUGUCUCUCCCUGUCCCUAGGGCUGGGAGAAGCAGGGGGCAGGUCAGGGGCAGGCUGGGGCAGGACAGCCCUUGGGUCCACUCAGGCAUACAGAGAGUGAGGGGUGCCCAGGGGAUGGCCUGAUGGGAGAAGAGCAGGUCUGAACUAGGUCCAGGAACACGGGGACAGAGAAGAGGGGGCCCCACAGAGAAAAGAGGCAGUGAGACAGGUUUGGGGACCAA
RNAcentral lists this long non-coding RNA (550 nucleotides) under Chinchilla lanigera (long-tailed chinchilla). Its description in RNAcentral is "lncRNA (ENSCLAG00000029225.1)". The record is from RNAcentral. Lineage: Eukaryota; Metazoa; Chordata; Mammalia; Rodentia; Chinchillidae.